RNAcentral lists this ribosomal RNA (301 nucleotides) under uncultured bacterium. Its description in RNAcentral is "partial 16S ribosomal RNA". It matches the Rfam family "Bacterial small subunit ribosomal RNA", at positions 509 to 807 of the family's 1533-position model. The record is from RNAcentral.
CAGCAGCCGCGGUAAUACGAAGGGUGCAAGCGUUAAUCGGAAUUACUGGGCGUAAAGCGUGCGUAGGCGGUUUGUUAAGUCUGCUGUGAAAUCCCCGGGCUCAACCUGGGAAUGGCAGUGGAUACUGGCAAGCUAGAGUGUGUCAGAGGAUGGUGGGAUUCCCGGUGUAGCGGUGAAAUGCGUAGAGAUCGGGAGGAACAUCAGUGGCGAAGGCGGCCAUCUGGGACAACACUGACGCUGAGGCACGAAAGCGUGGGGAGCAAACAGGAUUAGAUACCCCCGUAGUCCCUGUCUCUUAUAC